RNAcentral lists this ribosomal RNA (108 nucleotides) under Proteus mirabilis. RNAcentral's name for it is "partial 23S ribosomal RNA". It matches the Rfam family "Bacterial large subunit ribosomal RNA", at positions 1 to 107 of the family's 2925-position model. The record is from RNAcentral. Lineage: Bacteria; Pseudomonadati; Pseudomonadota; Gammaproteobacteria; Enterobacterales; Morganellaceae.
GGUUAAGCGAAUAAGCGUACACGGUGGAUGCCUAGGCAAUCAGAGGCGAUGAAGGACGUGCUAAUCUGCGAAAAGCGUCGGUAAGGUGAUAUGAACCGCUAUACCCGA